Molecule: ribosomal RNA, 357 nt
Filed under: uncultured bacterium
Lineage: Bacteria
Description: partial 16S ribosomal RNA
Rfam family: Bacterial small subunit ribosomal RNA
Source: RNAcentral
CCUACGGGAGGCAGCAGUGGGGAAUAUUGCGCAAUGGGCGAAAGCCUGAAGCAGCGACGCCGCGUGAGGGAUGAAUGUCUUCGGAUCGUAAACCUCUGUCAGCAGGGAAGAACGGUCACUGUGCUAAUCAGCAGUGAAUUGACGGUACCUGCAAAGGACGCACCGGCUCACUCCGUGCCAGCAGCCGCGGUAAUACGGAGGGUGCGAGCGUGAAUCGGAAUUACUGGGCGGAAAGCGAUCGUAGGCGGUAUGUCAAGUCAAGGGUGAAAUCACCGCGCUCAACGUGGGAACUGCAUUUGAAACUGGCAGACUGGAGUGCGUGAGAGGAGAGUGGAAUGCGAGGUGUAGGAGUGAAAU